GACGAACGCUGGCGGCGUGCUUAACACAUGCGAGUCGAACGGAAAGGCCCUGCUUUUGUGGGGUGCUCGAGUGGCGAACGGGUGAGUAACACGUGAGUAACCUGCCCUUGACUUUGGGAUAACUUCAGGAAACUGGGGCUAAUACCGGAUAGGAGCUCCUGCUGCAUGGUGGGGGUUGGAAAGUUUCGGCGGUUGGGGAUGGACUCGCGGCUUAUCAGCUUGUUGGUGGGGUAGUGGCUUACCAAGGCUUUGACGGGUAGCCGGCCUGAGAGGGUGACCGGCCACAUUGGGACUGAGAUACGGCCCAGACUCCUACGGGAGGCAGCAGUGGGGAAUAUUGCACAAUGGGCGGAAGCCUGAUGCAGCAACGCCGCGUGCGGGAUGAAGGCCUUCGGGUUGUAAACCGCUUUCGCCUGUGACGAAGCGUGAGUGACGGUAAUGGGUAAAGAAGCACCGGCUAACUACGUG
This 468-nucleotide ribosomal RNA is filed under the name uncultured bacterium. RNAcentral's name for it is "partial 16S ribosomal RNA". It matches the Rfam family "Bacterial small subunit ribosomal RNA", at positions 28 to 507 of the family's 1533-position model. The record is from RNAcentral.